AACGAACGCUGGCGGCAUGCCUAACACAUGCAAGUCGAACGAGACCUUCGGGUCUAGUGGCGCACGGGUGCGUAACGCGUGGGAACCUGCCCUUAGGUUCGGAAUAACUCCCCGAAAGGGGUGCUAAUACCGGAUAAUGUCUUCGGACCAAAGAUUUAUCGCCUUUGGAUGGGCCCGCGUUGGAUUAGCUAGUUGGUAGGGUAGAAGCCUACCAAGGCGACGAUCCAUAGCUGGUCUGAGAGGAUGGUCAGCCACACUGGGACUGAGACACGGCCCAGACUCCUACGGGAGGCAGCAGUGGGGAAUAUUGGACAAUGGGCGAAAGCCUGAUCCAGCAAUGCCGCGUGAGUGAUGAAGGCCUUAGGGUUGUAAAGCUCUUUUACCCGGGAUGAUAAUGACAGUACCGGGAGAAUAAGCUCCGGCUAACUCCGUG
RNAcentral lists this ribosomal RNA (433 nucleotides) under uncultured bacterium. RNAcentral's name for it is "partial 16S ribosomal RNA". It matches the Rfam family "Bacterial small subunit ribosomal RNA", at positions 29 to 507 of the family's 1533-position model. The record is from RNAcentral.